RNAcentral lists this ribosomal RNA (253 nucleotides) under uncultured bacterium. RNAcentral's name for it is "partial 16S ribosomal RNA". It matches the Rfam family "Bacterial small subunit ribosomal RNA", at positions 524 to 776 of the family's 1533-position model. The record is from RNAcentral.
UACGAAGGGGGCUAGCGUUGUUCGGAUUUACUGGGCGUAAAGCGCACGUAGGCGGUUCGAUCAGUCAGGGGUGAAAUCCCAGAGCUCAACUCUGGAACUGCCUUUGAUACUGCGUGGCUUGAGUAUCGGAGAGGUUGGUGGAAUUCUCGGUGUAGAGGUGAAAUUCGUAGAUAUCGAGAGGAACACCGGUGGCGAAGGCGGCCAACUGGACGAAUACUGACGCUGAGACACGAAAGCGUGGGGAGCAAACAGG